RNAcentral lists this ribosomal RNA (254 nucleotides) under uncultured bacterium. RNAcentral's name for it is "partial 16S ribosomal RNA". It matches the Rfam family "Bacterial small subunit ribosomal RNA", at positions 524 to 773 of the family's 1533-position model. The record is from RNAcentral.
UACGUAGGGUGCGAGCGUUAAUCGGAAUUACUGGGCGUAAAGCGUGCGCAGGCGGUUGUGCAAGACAGAUGUGAAAUCCCCGGGCUUAACCUGGGAAUUGCAUUUGUGACUGCACGGCUAGAGUGUGUCAGAGGGAGGUAGAAUUCCACGUGUAGCAGUGAAAUGCGUAGAUAUGUGGAGGAAUACCGAUGGCGAAGGCAGGCCUCCCUGGGGAUAACACUGACGCUCAUGACACGAAAGCGUGGGGAGCAAAC